RNAcentral lists this ribosomal RNA (253 nucleotides) under uncultured bacterium. RNAcentral describes it as "partial 16S ribosomal RNA". It matches the Rfam family "Bacterial small subunit ribosomal RNA", at positions 524 to 776 of the family's 1533-position model. The record is from RNAcentral.
CACGUAGGGCGCAAGCGUUGUCCGGAAUUAUUGGGCGUAAAGAGCUCGUAGGCGGUCUGUUGCGUCCGCUGUGAAAACCCGGGGCUUAACCCUGGGCUGGCAGUGGAUACGGACAGACUAGAGGUAGGUAGGGGAGAAUGGAAUUCCCGGUGUAGCGGUGAAAUGCGCAGAUAUCAGGAGGAACACCGGUGGCGAAGGCGGGUCUCUGGGCCGAUACUGACGCUGAGGAGCGAAAGCGUGGGGAGCGAACAGG